AAUUUAAUUAAUACGUCAUGAAGUGGAAUAAUCUAGAUUCUUCCUUUACAAAGACGUAAAACAGAGGGUAUAGAAACACAGACUAAGAGACCAAGAGUCUUAAUUAAGGAGGUUUGGUAUACCACUUAACCCUAAUCAAUCCACUACUUACUUGAUAAAGACAUAUUCUCAUCAUGUAUAUUUGAUUAGAUUAGCUAGGCUCGUAAUAUGGGACAAAACCCCGAAGAUGAGCAAGAAAUGCUUUGAAAGAUUUUAUCGUAGCAUGAGUGUCAUAUCUGCACCCUUCAGUGCUCCCUUGUAAAAUCAAAGUAUCUGAGUAUAGAUACUUAAUAGGUUUAAGUGUUCUUCGAUCUUGGACGAUAUGUUCCAACUUAUACUGAUACAGAGGUUAUACAGAUUUUUGGUUUUUCUAAUAAAAUAAAUUGUUUGCUGAAAGAUUGCUAUACCUUUAACAAUUUUAUUUUGUUUGUUAG
This 473-nucleotide long non-coding RNA is filed under the name Arabidopsis lyrata. RNAcentral's name for it is "long non-coding RNA (ALYR_LNC002480)". Lineage: Eukaryota; Viridiplantae; Streptophyta; Magnoliopsida; Brassicales; Brassicaceae. The record is from RNAcentral.